UGUGUAGGCGGUCUGGUAAGUUGGAUGUGAAAAGCCCGGGCUUAACCUGGGAGGUGCAUCCAAUACUGUUGGACUAGAGUGCAGGAGAGGAAAGCGGAAUUCCUAGUGUAGCGGUGAAAUGCGUAGAUAUUAGGAGGAACACCAGUGGCGAAGGCGGCUUUCUGGACUGUAACUGACGCUGAGGCACGAAAGCGUGGGGAGCAAACA
This 207-nucleotide ribosomal RNA is filed under the name uncultured bacterium. Its description in RNAcentral is "partial 16S ribosomal RNA". It matches the Rfam family "Bacterial small subunit ribosomal RNA", at positions 568 to 774 of the family's 1533-position model. The record is from RNAcentral.